AUUGAACGCUGGCGGAAUGCCUAACACAUGCAAGUCGAGCGGGGUGUAGCAAUACACCUAGCGGCGGACGGGUGAGGAACACACAGGAAUCUACCUUUUAGUGGGGAGUAGCCGGGAACCCGGGACUUAAUACCGCAUGAUCUCGCAAGAGCAAAGACGGGGGACCGGUAACGGCCUCGCGCUGAAAGAAUGAGCCUAUGUCGGAUUAGCUAGUUGGCGGGGUAAAAGGACCCACCAAGGCGACGAUCCGUAGCUGGUCUGAGAGGACGAUCAGCCACACCGGAACUGAGACACGGUCCGGACUCCUACGGGAGGCAGCAGUGGGGAAUAUUGGACAAUGGGCGCAAGCCUGAUCCAGCAAUUCCGCGUGUGUGAAGAAGGCCUUCGGUUGUAA
Molecule: ribosomal RNA, 394 nt
Filed under: uncultured bacterium
Lineage: Bacteria
Description: bacterial SSU rRNA
Rfam family: Bacterial small subunit ribosomal RNA
Source: RNAcentral